RNAcentral lists this ribosomal RNA (253 nucleotides) under uncultured bacterium. Its description in RNAcentral is "partial 16S ribosomal RNA". It matches the Rfam family "Bacterial small subunit ribosomal RNA", at positions 524 to 776 of the family's 1533-position model. The record is from RNAcentral.
UACAGAGGGUGCGAGCGUUGUCCGGAAUCACUGGGCGUAAAGGGCGCGUAGGCGGGAUGGCAAGUCGGUCGUGAAAUCCUUCGGCUCAACCGAAGAACGUCGGCCGAUACUGCCGUUCUUGAGGGAUGCAGAGGAGAUUGGAAUUCCCGGUGUAGCGGUGAAAUGUGUAGAGAUCGGGAGGAACACCGGUGGCGAAGGCGGGUCUCUGGGCAUCUCCUGACGCUGAGGCGCGAAAGCGUGGGGAGCAAACGGG